AAAAAGGUAAGCUAAAUAAAGCUAUUGGGUUCAUACCCCACUUAUGAAAAAUAUUCCCUUUUUA
This 64-nucleotide transfer RNA is filed under the name Thlaspida biramosa. RNAcentral's name for it is "tRNA-Met". The record is from RNAcentral. Lineage: Eukaryota; Metazoa; Arthropoda; Insecta; Coleoptera; Chrysomelidae.